GGAAGCAAAAGCACGUUGGAUACACUAGUCCCCCAUAAUUUACUGAAGUUGAGCAACAUUGCGUGUGGUUAGUAUCUGGAUGGGUGACCAUAUGCACACUCGCAUACUGCUAGCU
This 115-nucleotide ribosomal RNA is filed under the name Diaphorina citri (Asian citrus psyllid). The record is from RNAcentral. Lineage: Eukaryota; Metazoa; Arthropoda; Insecta; Hemiptera; Psyllidae.